Molecule: ribosomal RNA, 250 nt
Filed under: uncultured Neisseria sp.
Lineage: Bacteria; Pseudomonadati; Pseudomonadota; Betaproteobacteria; Neisseriales; Neisseriaceae
Description: partial 16S ribosomal RNA
Rfam family: Bacterial small subunit ribosomal RNA
Source: RNAcentral
GGGUGGCGAGUGGCGAACGGGUGAGUAACAUAUCGGAACGUACCGAGCAGUGGGGGAUAACUAAUCGAAAGAUUAGCUAAUACCGCAUAUUCUCUGAGGAGGAAAGCAGGGGACCUUCGGGCCUUGCGUUAUUCGAGCGGCCGAUAUCUGAUUAGCUAGUUGGUGGGGUAAAGGCCUACCAAGGCGACGAUCAGUAGCGGGUCUGAGAGGAUGAACGGCCACAUUGGGACUGAGACACGGCCCAAACUCC